Molecule: ribosomal RNA, 449 nt
Filed under: uncultured bacterium
Lineage: Bacteria
Description: partial 16S ribosomal RNA
Rfam family: Bacterial small subunit ribosomal RNA
Source: RNAcentral
AACGAACGCUGGCGGCAUGCCUAACACAUGCAAGUCGAACGAGACCUUCGGGUCUAGUGGCGCACGGGUGCGUAACGCGUGGGAAUCUGCCCCUCGGUUCGGAAUAACAGUUAGAAAUGACUGCUAAUACCGGAUAAUGACUUCGGUCCAAAGAUUUAUCGCCGAGGGAUGAGCCCGCGUAAGAUUAGGUAGUUGGUGGGGUAAAGGCCUACCAAGCCGACGAUCUUUAGCUGGUCUGAGAGGAUGAUCAGCCACACUGGGACUGAGACACGGCCCAGACUCCUGCGGGAGGCAGCAGUGGGGAAUAUUGGACAAAGGGCGAAAGCCUGAUCCAGCAAUGCCGCGUGAGUGAUGAAGGCCUUAGGGUUGUAAAGCUCUUUUACCAGGGAUGAUAAUGACAGUACCUGGAGAAUAAGCUCCGGCUAACUCCGUGCCAGCCGCCGCAGUAA